RNAcentral lists this ribosomal RNA (648 nucleotides) under uncultured Porphyromonadaceae bacterium. RNAcentral describes it as "bacterial SSU rRNA". It matches the Rfam family "Bacterial small subunit ribosomal RNA", at positions 67 to 715 of the family's 1533-position model. Lineage: Bacteria; Pseudomonadati; Bacteroidota; Bacteroidia; Bacteroidales; Porphyromonadaceae. The record is from RNAcentral.
GGGAGUAGCAAUACAACUGGUGGCGACCGGCGCACGGGUGAGUAACGCGUAUGCAACCUUUCUAUCAGAGGGGAAUAACCCGGCGAAAGUCGGACUAAUACCGCAUAAAACAGGGGCACCGCAUGGUGAUAUUUGUUAAAGAAAUUCGCUGAUAGAUGGGCAUGCGUUCCAUUAGGUAGUUGGUGAGGUAACGGCUCACCAAGCCGACGAUGGAUAGGGGAACUGAGAGGUUGGUCCCCCACACUGGUACUGAGACACGGACCAGACUCCUACGGGAGGCAGCAGUGAGGAAUAUUGGUCAAUGGGCGGGAGCCUGAACCAGCCAAGUCGCGUGAAGGAAGAAGGAUCUAUGGUUCGUAAACUUCUUUUGCAGGGGAAUAAAGUGCAGGACGUGUCCUGUUUUGUAUGUACCCUGAGAAUAAGGAUCGGCUAACUCCGUGCCAGCAGCCGCGGUAAUACGGUGGAUCCGAGCGUUAUCCGGAUUUAUUGGGUUUAAAGGGUGCGUAGGUGGUUUGAUAAGUCAGCGGUGAAAGUUUGCAGCUUAACUGUAAAAAUGCCGUUGAAACUGUCGGACUUGAGUGUAAAUGAGGUAGGCGGAAUGCGUGGUGUAGCGGUGAAAUGCAUAGAUAUCACGAAGAACUCCGAUUG